UCCUGAGGACUUCCAAGUACCAGGCCCUGCGAUCUCAGAGCCACUUCUGUCCCAUCUCUGCCCUUGGAGGGGGAACAGGUAGUCCAGACAAUUAGAGGACAGAGGGGGCUGUGUUCUGACGGGGCCAUGCAGGCAUUGAGGAAACACAGCGGGCCCCUCCCCUGGCUGGGAUGGGGAUGUCUGUGUGCCAUCAUCUCACUCCAUCUGCUCAUUCCUUUGCUCAUUCAUCUAUCCAUUCAUUCGCGUCACCUCAUGCACAUUUUCCAAGGCUGCCUGUGGCCUGGCCCUGUGCCGGGUAGAGCUGAGGAUGCCAAGGUGAAGGUGAAUUCCUCCUGUGCCUGGCCCCGGCCCCAGUCUGCUGGAAGAACCAGACACAGACAAUCACAUUGCGGGGAAACGCGUGCUCCAUCCGAAACGUCCAGAGCAGGGGGUGGGCAGGGAGGCCCAGCGUGCACCAGGACCUUGCUCAGGUCGGCACCAGGCCUGCCUGGAGCAGCCAACUGUGGGAGAAGGAGUUGGUGAAAGAUGGGCCCCACCUGGGCCAUGCACAGAAGGGCUGAGGGGUAGGGGGCGAGGGGUUGAAGAUCAGGCCCUGCCGCCAUGCCACACGGCUGUCCUCUGUCCCUGCCCCUGGGGGAGCUGAAACUGCAUGGAAGGUCCUCCAGGGGUGCCCCGUCUAAUAAACUCGAUGA
Molecule: RNA transcript, 692 nt
Organism: Mandrillus leucophaeus (drill)
Lineage: Eukaryota; Metazoa; Chordata; Mammalia; Primates; Cercopithecidae
Exons: 1
Source: RefSeq, a predicted model, not a curated record